AAAUGUCCCCUAGCAUUAACUCCCAGCCCCCAGCUCUCCUGCCCCAUGCUUGCCCCCCUCAAUGUUCUGCUGAGCACUUUGAAAACUCAGAAACUUCCUGUGGUUCUUGGAGUGGUUCUGAACCUAAUUUUAGCUGGUUGGCAGCAGCGUGGUGAGAGCCAAGCCCAGCCCCUGUGGAUGUCCCUCCUCAGUAACCCACACUGCCAUUCCCUUCAUACAAACACCAUCGAGCAAUUCAAUAUUCACAGAAAUGACGCCUCUAAAAGCCACAGCCUAAAGAAAAGGAGAGCCAGGGCAAGGUCCCGAGUCAGUCUGGAGCACUGCAGAAGGAUGAGAGUUCAAUUUACCAGUUCAUUAAAGAAAUGAAGGAGCCAGGGGACAAGAGUCACUCUGCAGAGCAAGCCAGCAAUCACCCAAGCCUGAGAGGAAAAGGGCACAGCAGCAAAAAGCAGCGGCCUCUGCAACCCUCAGGAGGGAAUUAACCUGCACAGAGGUGAUUGCUGAAAUUCUGAAAAGCGAGGUCAGCAGCAGCCACAAAGCCUAGAGAGAACU
Molecule: long non-coding RNA, 552 nt
Organism: Poecile atricapillus (Black-capped chickadee)
Lineage: Eukaryota; Metazoa; Chordata; Aves; Passeriformes; Paridae
Exons: 3
Source: RefSeq, a predicted model, not a curated record